GGAAGGAUCAUUAUUGAAAAAACUCCAGUUUUUUUAUAUCCUAUUGUCUACCUACCACGUUGCUUCCACUGGACUUGUCUUACCUUGUGUAAGACCUUUGGCUUGUGUGAAUAACUCAAGUCAGGGAGUUGCCGGUGGCAAGACCAUUUACCAAAACUUGAUUAAAACACUUUGUCUGAAUCUUUUGCUUCAAUGAAAUAAAACUUUCAACAACGGAUCUCUAGGCUCUUGCAUCGAUGAAGAACGCAGUGAAAUGCGAUAAGUAAUGUGAAUUGCAGAAUCUCGUGAAUCAUCGAAUCUUUGAACGCACAUUGCGCCCUAUGGUAUUCCGUAGGGCAUGCCUGUCUGAGCGUCAGCUCCCCCCACACUCAAGUAUCUGUUUUCUUGGAUUCUUGGAAUGAUUUGGAUAGGUGUCUUGUCAUAGGAGACACCCUCCAGAAAUUCAUAGGCAGUAUGGUUUGCACCUGAACCAGACGUAAUAAUAAUAAAAUCGUUUAUUUGGGUAUGAUCGUGCUUGCCCUUAACCCACCCAUUUCUUUGUUUGGGUGACCUCAGAUCAGGUAGGGAUACCCGCUGAACUUAAGCAUAUCAAUAAGCGGAGGAAAAGAAACCAACAGGGAUUGCCCUAGUAACGGCGAGUGAAGCGGCAAAAGCUCAGAUUUGAAAUCUGUCGCCAUUUUGGCGUCCGAGUUGUAGUCUGUAGAGGUGUAUUCGAGUGUGGCUUUGGCUUAAGUUCCUUGGAACAGGGCGUCAUAGAGGGUGAGAACCCCGUUAACGGCCGUUGUCUUAUGCUCAUGUGAAUCUCCUUCAACGAGUCGAGUUGUUUGGGAAUGCAGCUCUAAAUGGGUGGUAAAUUCCAUCUAAAGCUAAAUACUGGCAAGAGACCGAUAGCGCACAAGUAGAGUGAUCGAAAGAUGAAAAGAACUCUGAACAGAGAGUUAAAUAGUACGUGAAAUUGUUGAAAGGGAAGCACUUCCGACCAGACGCACUUGCAGCCGAUCAAUCUUCAUUCUUGAGGGUGCACUCGGUUGUCUGUGGGUCAGCAUCAGUUAUGGCGGUGGGAAAAAGACUGAGGGAAUGUGGCUCCUUUCGGGGAGUGUUAUAGCCUUUGGUGCAAUGCUGCCUGUUGUGACUGAGGACCGCGCUUCGGCGAGGAUGCUGGCAUAAUGGUCGUAAGUGACCCGUCUUGAAACACGGACCAAGGAGUCUAACAUCUAUGCGAGUGUUUGGGUGUUCAAACCCUUACGCGGAAUGAAAGUAAACGGAGGUGGGAACCGCAAGGUGCACCAUCGACCGAUCCUGAUGUUUUCGGAUGGAUUUGAGUAGGAGCAUAGCUGUUGGGACCCGAAAGAUGGUGAACUAUGCCUGAAUAGGGUGAAGCCAGAGGAAACUCUGGUGGAGGCUCGCAGCGGUUCUGACGUGCAAAUCGAUCGUCAAAUUUGGGUAUAGGGGCGAAAGACUAAUCGAACCAUCUAGUAGCUGG
This 1483-nucleotide ribosomal RNA is filed under the name uncultured fungus. RNAcentral describes it as "eukaryotic LSU rRNA". The stretch from base 547 to 1483 matches the Rfam family "Eukaryotic large subunit ribosomal RNA", at positions 1 to 954 of the family's 3401-position model. The record is from RNAcentral. Lineage: Eukaryota; Fungi.